This 1117-nucleotide long non-coding RNA is filed under the name Capra hircus (goat). RNAcentral describes it as "lncRNA (ENSCHIG00000006910.1)". Lineage: Eukaryota; Metazoa; Chordata; Mammalia; Artiodactyla; Bovidae. The record is from RNAcentral.
GCGGAUUCUCUUACCACUGGUGCCAUCUGGGAAGCCCCGGAGAAAAAGGAAAGUGAAUCUAUUAAGUGAAACACACACAAAUAUGGUGCUUUCUAUACCUGGAGAUUCUGAAGAAUCAGCCAGCAACACUGUCCCAGCUACUGCCGUGGCGCACGUUGUCUGGAGGCGGGACCAGGGACUUCCAGUCUCAUCCUCUGCCUCCUCCCUCUCAGUUCCUCAACCCACUUCCGGCGUCUAGGUAGCGCAUUUCCGGUGCGCUUGGAAUCCAGAGAGAUCCCACGGCUCCGUGUUGACGACGGCGUGUGAGGGGGCCCUAGGGACUUUAAGUGGCCACGGGCUUUUACUGGGACGGCUGCAGUGACGUCCGCAUUCUUCCCGAGGUCUGCUCAGAACGACCAACUGCAUUCACACACAAGCCGUUGUCACCAGCCCUCAUUUUGCUGAACGUUAGAUACCAUCCUGCCAGCGACAGAAGGCUUUGGUGUGACUGGAUUUUACUAAAAAUUUGAAGAUGAGUAAAGGAAGGAUCCGCUUUAACAUCGCCUCACUAAUUAGCUUUCUGCGUUCUUACAGAGGCCAUUAGGCCCUCCCCCGGGCGUCACUCCUAGAGAGGACGGACUUCUGUUAGGUGCUCCGCUACAUUUCGGUCGCUCCAAGCAUCAGGAUGUGGGUCAGCGGGACCACUGGAGGGGAAGGAAUGGACCGCAGGAAGCGGAAGGGAGAAGCAACUCGGAGUGAAGGGAUGUCUAUUUGGGACGCCUCGGAAGCCUUACGGAGCGUUCAUAUAGGACUUUUAAUCCAAAUUCCUGGAGAGGAGUCUUUCUGCUACUAUGUGAAGAAACUUGAGUUGGCCUCCUGGAAGAUAAUGCAGAAGUGAAAGACCCCCAGCUGUUCUAGUACAACUAUCCAGCCAUUCCAGUUGAGACCAUCCUGUGUUACUGAGGUUAUACUAGAAGACCAGACUGGCCAGUUCAAAAGGUUAUGGUAAAUACAGAGAAAUAAUUAUUCAUCAUUGUUUUAAGUAACUAUGUUUUAGGUUGACGGUUAUGCAGCAGAAGUUGACUGAUAACAUACUACCAUUUUGAAAUAAAAAGUGUGUGAUAAAUUGUAAGGAAUG